CAAUACCAUGCUGAAUAUACCGGUUCUCGUUAGAUCACCGAAGUUAAGCAUCAUUGGGCGCGGUCAGUACUUGGGUGGGUGACCACCUGGGAACACUGCGUGCCGUU
Molecule: ribosomal RNA, 107 nt
Filed under: Caerostris darwini
Lineage: Eukaryota; Metazoa; Arthropoda; Arachnida; Araneae; Araneidae
Source: RNAcentral